RNAcentral lists this ribosomal RNA (440 nucleotides) under uncultured bacterium. RNAcentral describes it as "partial 16S ribosomal RNA". It matches the Rfam family "Bacterial small subunit ribosomal RNA", at positions 338 to 795 of the family's 1533-position model. The record is from RNAcentral.
CCUACGGGCGGCAGCAGUGGGGAAUAUUGCACAAUGGGGGAAACCCUGAUGCAGCGACGCCGCGUGAGUGAAGAAGUAUUUCGGUAUGUAAAGCUCUAUCAGCAGGGAAGAAAAUGACGGUACCUGAUUAAGAAGCCCCGGCUAACUACGUGCCAGCAGCCGCGGUAAUACGUAGGGGGCAAGCGUUAUCCGGAUUUACUGGGUGUAAAGGGAGCGUAGACGGCAGGACAAGUCUGGAGUGAAAGGCCGGGGCUUAACCCCGGAACUGCUUUGGAAACUGUGCAGCUUGAGUGCAGGAGAGGUAAGUGGAAUUCCGAGUGUAGCGGUGAAAUGCGUAGAUAUUAGGAGGAACACCAGUGGCGAAGGCGGCUUACUGGACUGUAACUGACGUUGAGGCUCGAAAGCGUGGGGAGCAAACAGGAUUAGAUACCCGAGUAGUC